Cebus imitator (Panamanian white-faced capuchin) is the source of this 299-nucleotide unclassified non-coding RNA. It matches the Rfam family "Metazoan signal recognition particle RNA". From Rfam's summary of the family: The signal recognition particle (SRP) is a universally conserved ribonucleoprotein. It is involved in the co-translational targeting of proteins to membranes. The record is from Ensembl. NCBI's taxonomy places the organism in Eukaryota, Metazoa, Chordata, Mammalia, Primates, Cebidae.
GCCGGACAUGGUGGCACGUGCCUGUAGUCCCAGCUAUUUGGGAGGCUGAGGCUAGAGGAUCUCUUGAGUCCAGGAGUUCUGGGCUAUAGUGCGCUAUGCCAGUCGCGUGUCCGCACUAAGUUCGGCAUCAAUAUGGUGACUUCCCGGGAGUGGGGGACCACCAGGUUGCCUAAGGAGGGGUGAACCAGCCCAGGUCGGAAACGGAGCAGGUCAAAACUCCCGUGCUGAUCAGUAGUGGGAUCGUGCCUGUGAAUAGCCACUGCAUUCCAGCCUGGGCAACAUAGCGAAACCCCGUCUCU